CCUCUCCCUCCUUUCUUUUUCUUUUUCUUUUCUUUUUUUUUUUUUAAUUUGAAAAAGCAUAGACAAAACAGGUCAGGAUUUAUUCUUGAUUGGAAGAUCCUCGGUUGUGUUUAUGAAAGAUGUACAAGGAUAGAGAUGAAGUUUGGUUCUAGGUGUUCAGGGAAAGCUGCAGGUGUCAUUACAACCCCCCACAAUACAUUGUUCUUAAGACAGAUUUAGGAGCUAUCAGGGCUAGUUUGAGGAGGGUUUAGUCUUUAGAACAAUCUUGUAGCCUUGACAGAAAUCCAAAAUCUCCCCCAAACUCUUACCCUUUAACCUUACAUUAGGAGAAACUGAUCUAUUAAAAUUACAUGUAUGAGUACGAAAAGCGAAGUUAAGUGAGAACAUUGGAAGAACCUGGAAAAAAGCUCCCACCCUAACUAAGAAGCAUGAUCUCAGUAGACCAAUAACUCGCCUUUUUAUACACCUGUAAAUAAAUGGAAUGUUUUUAAGAAUAUAAUUAUGUCAGAUUUAGCAUUUUCUUUUAUAUAUUAAAUAUAUAUCUUUCAUUUCUGCUUUUGAAAGUGAUUAUUUUUUUAGAUAUAACAAGUUUGGCAGUUGAAAGGCAAGACAUGUGAACCUGAAAUAAACCAGUUAUACUAAUUAAAGCAG
This 651-nucleotide long non-coding RNA is filed under the name Rattus norvegicus (Norway rat). Its description in RNAcentral is "long non-coding RNA NONRATT018492". The record is from RNAcentral. Lineage: Eukaryota; Metazoa; Chordata; Mammalia; Rodentia; Muridae.